This is a long non-coding RNA of Bombyx mori (domestic silkworm), 524 nucleotides long. RefSeq lists it as uncharacterized. The record is from RefSeq and is a predicted model, not a curated record. Lineage: Eukaryota; Metazoa; Arthropoda; Insecta; Lepidoptera; Bombycidae. The transcript is spliced from 2 exons.
ACACUCGUGUGCCGACCGAGCGCCGUGCCGGUCGUUUCCUGUAUUGUCGACCGCGCGCCGCACGUGCUUUAUUUACGGCUCAGAGUUCUGCGAGUCAAUUUCGUUUAUUAACAAUAAUAUUCUUUUAUUAAACUCGAUCUCUAUGUGUUUUAACUAGUAAUGGUGAUCUAUUUACAUUCAGUCACUAUCAACAUUACAUAUUCCUCAAGUAUCUUCAGAUAUAAAUGAAGCCACUGUACUAAAUCUGAAGCUAUAGCAGAAAGAACUGCAAAGUCAAGCUUAUGCAAGCAAAGUCUUCAAAGGUGAGUAGAAGUGAGAAGCUAUAGGCAAUAGAAUUAAUGAAUUAUCUUUAAUUUUAGAAUUAUUGUAAAGUAUAUGUAUAUACAAACAAAUAGAUUUUACAAAUGUACAUAUAUAAUUUACUUUUUAAUUCCCCUAACAAUAUAAAGACAAUGAAUGAAAUAUUGCAUACAAGGUACUUGCAUAGUUUCAGAAUUAUUUAAAAGCAUUUUUACAGAGAAAAA